UUCCAGCUGACGAGUCCCAACUAGGACGGAAAAUGCGUCCUGGAU
Non-coding RNA from Schistosoma curassoni, 45 nucleotides. The record is from Rfam. NCBI's taxonomy places the organism in Eukaryota, Metazoa, Platyhelminthes, Trematoda, Strigeidida, Schistosomatidae.